Molecule: ribosomal RNA, 425 nt
Filed under: uncultured bacterium
Lineage: Bacteria
Description: bacterial SSU rRNA
Rfam family: Bacterial small subunit ribosomal RNA
Source: RNAcentral
AAUUUUGCGCAAUGGGCGAAAGCCUGACGCAGUAACGCCGCGUGGAGGAUGAAGGCCUUCGGGUUGUAAACUCCUGUCAGAGGGAACGACAGUAGUAGGGUGAAUAACCUUACUUUCUAGACGGUACCCUCAAAGGAAGCCCCGGCUAAUUCCGUCCCAGCAGCCGCGGUAAUACGGAAGGGGCAAGCGUUGUUCGGAAUCAUUGGGCGUAAAGGGCGCGUAGGUGGUCCUAUGUGUCUACUGUGAAAGCACACGGCUCAACCGUGUCGGGUCGGUAGAAACUGUAGGACUUGAGGCUGGGAGGGGCUGGUGGAAUUCCCUGUGUAGCGGUGAAAUGCGUAGAGAUGGGGGAGAACACUCGUGGCGAAGGCGGCCAGCUGGACCAGUCCUGACACUGAGGCGCGACAGCGUGGGGAGCAAACAGG